Molecule: ribosomal RNA, 253 nt
Filed under: uncultured bacterium
Lineage: Bacteria
Description: partial 16S ribosomal RNA
Rfam family: Bacterial small subunit ribosomal RNA
Source: RNAcentral
UCCGAGGGGGGCAAGCGUUGUUCGGAAUUACUGGGCGUAAAGGGCUCGUAGGUGGCCAACUAAGUCAGACGUGAAAUCCCUCGGCUUAACCGGGGAACUGCGUCUGAUACUGGAUGGCUUGAGUUUGGGAGAGGGAUGCGGAAUUCCAGGUGUAGCGGUGAAAUGCGUAGAUAUCUGGAGGAACACCGGUGGCGAAGGCGGCAUCCUGGACCAACACUGACACUGAGGAGCGAAAGCCAGGGGAGCAAACGGG